AGCGAACGCUGGCGGCAGGCCUAACACAUGCAAGUCGAGCGGCCGUAGCAAUACGGCAGCGGCAGACGGGAGAGUAACACGUGGGAACGUGCCCUUUGGUUCGGAAUAACGCAGGGAAACUUGCGCUAAUACCGAAUAAGCCCUUACGGGAAAGAUUUAUCGCCAUUGGAGCGGCCCGCGUCUGAUUAGCUAGUUGGUGGGGUAACGGCUCACCAAGGCGACGAUCAGUAGCNGGUUUGAGAGGAUGAUCAGCCUCACUGGGACUGAGACACGGCCCAGACUCCUACGGGAGGC
This 294-nucleotide ribosomal RNA is filed under the name uncultured bacterium. RNAcentral's name for it is "partial 16S ribosomal RNA". It matches the Rfam family "Bacterial small subunit ribosomal RNA", at positions 29 to 349 of the family's 1533-position model. The record is from RNAcentral.